This 825-nucleotide ribosomal RNA is filed under the name Hymenostegia talbotii. Its description in RNAcentral is "eukaryotic LSU rRNA". The stretch from base 367 to 522 matches the Rfam family "5.8S ribosomal RNA". The record is from RNAcentral. Lineage: Eukaryota; Viridiplantae; Streptophyta; Magnoliopsida; Fabales; Fabaceae.
GAUCGCGGCGACGUGGGCGGUUCGCUGCCGGCGACGUCGCGAGAAGUCCACUGAACCUUAUCAUUUAGAGGAAGGAGAAGUCGUAACAAGGUUUCCGUAGGUGAACCUGCGGAAGGAUCAUUGUCGAUACCUUACGAGCAGCAUGACCGGUGAACUUGUUUUGUGAGACCCCGGGGGGGCACACGGCGUUCGUCGCCUUGGGCCUCCCGUGCCGAGAUGUGCCUCGGGCUGAUCCCCGCCGGCUCUCUCGGCAGAACAACGAACCCCCGGCGCCGAACGCGCCAAGGAAUAUGAUUUCAUGGUCGUCCUCUUGUCGUCCCGGAGACGGUGACGUGCAACGAGUGACGCACGAUUUGUAUCCAUAACGACUCUCGGCAACGGAUAUCUCGGCUCUCGCAUCGAUGAAGAACGUAGCGAAAUGCGAUACUUGGUGUGAAUUGCAGAAUCCCGUGAACCAUCGAGUCUUUGAACGCAAGUUGCGCCCGAAGCCAUCAGGCCGAGGGCACGUCUGGCUGGGUGUCACACAGCAUUGCCCCAACCCCAACGCCCAUCACGCGGCGGCGGGGGCGGGGCGGAUGAUGGCCUCCCGUGAGCUUGGCCUCGCGGAUGGCUGAAAUAAGAGUUCGCAGUGCGGUCAGCACCACGGCGCACGGUAGUUGAGUAACACUCUGGCCCGGUCGUGCGUGCUCUGCCCCUUAAUGCGUAUCUCUGAGACCCUAUCGCGUCCAAGGACGCUUCGGAUGCGACCUCAGCUCAGGCGGGGCUACCCGCUGAGUUUAAGCAUAUCAAUAAGCGGAGGAAAAGAAACUAACAAGGAUUCCCCUA